This 888-nucleotide ribosomal RNA is filed under the name Fergusobia sp. 470. RNAcentral describes it as "eukaryotic LSU rRNA". It matches the Rfam family "Eukaryotic large subunit ribosomal RNA", at positions 378 to 944 of the family's 3401-position model. Lineage: Eukaryota; Metazoa; Nematoda; Chromadorea; Rhabditida; Neotylenchidae. The record is from RNAcentral.
GAAGAGAGAGUUAAAGAGCACGUGAAAUCGGUAAGGUGGAAACGGAUAGAGUUGACGUAUAUGGCUUGUAUUCAACCGUUGGAUUAUGCGUAACAAUGGGUUGUAUUUGCGUUGGCCGGUUUAAUAUACGCUAUUUUCGGAUGGUGUUUAUGUUGGGCUGGUUCGGCGCGCAGUCCAUUGGUGUUUACGUUUUUUAGCGGUGCAUUUACGAGUCAAUGUGCGCUGGGACAUGCGCGAUUUCGGUCGUCAAAGAAGUUUUUUGGUGCAAGAGGUUACUUUUUAGCAUUUUAAAUUUAUUUUAAAAUGCAGGUAAAACCGUGCCCCUUUCGGAGGCGAUUCGUCGUGCAUGUAGUACUUAAGUUUUUUUGGUUUUUAAAGGAUGGCGUUUAUUUUGAAAGAAAUAAAUGCGAAUGUUUUAAAUUUAAUUGUAUUUAUUGAUUAUGCGAGUCGCAUGCGACGCGUAUAAUUAAUUUAUUUAAAAUAGAUACGAUUAUUUAAAUAUUUCCCACUUUCCUUUAUCCCGGUGUAAAAGUCAAUCAUCUAUCCGACCCGUCUUGAAACACGGACCAAGGAGUUUAACGUAUACGCGAGUCAUUGGGUGUUCAAAACCUAAAGGCGUAAUGAAAGUGAAUGUAAUUUUUUUUAUUAAACUGAAAAAAAUUACAAAUAUGCGAUCCCAUAAAUUUCGAUUUAAGGGCGCAGCAUAGCCCCGUUUUUGUCGCAUGCGAUGGAGCGGAGGAAGAGCGUAUGCGUUGAGACCCGAAAGAUGGUGAACUAUGCCUGAGCAGGACGAAGCCAGAGGAAACUCUGGUGGAAGUCCGAAUCGGUUCUGACGUGCAAAUCGAUCGUCUGACUUGGGUAUAGGGGCGAAAGACUAAUCGAACUAUC